RNAcentral lists this ribosomal RNA (481 nucleotides) under uncultured bacterium. RNAcentral's name for it is "partial 16S ribosomal RNA". It matches the Rfam family "Bacterial small subunit ribosomal RNA", at positions 28 to 507 of the family's 1533-position model. The record is from RNAcentral.
GAUGAACGCUGGCGGCGUGCUUAACACAUGCAAGUCGAACGAAGCACUUUAUUUGAUUUCCUUCGGGACUGAUUAUUUUGUGACUGAGUGGCGGACGGGUGAGUAACGCGUGGGUAACCUGCCUUGUACAGGGGGAUAACAGUUGGAAACGGCUGCUAAUACCGCAUAAGCGCACAGCAUCGCAUGAUGCAGUGUGAAAAACUCCGGUGGUAUAAGAUGGACCCGCGUUGGAUUAGCUAGUUGGUGAGGUAACGGCCCACCAAGGCGACGAUCCAUAGCCGACCUGAGAGGGUGACCGGCCACAUUGGGACUGAGACACGGACCAAACUCCUACGGGAGGCAGCAGUGGGGAAUAUUGCACAAUGGGCGAAAGCCUGAUGCAGCGACGCCGCGUGAGCGAAGAAGUAUUUCGGUAUGUAAAGCUCUAUCAGCAGGGAAGAUAAUGACGGUACCUGACUAAGAAGCACCGGCUAAAUACGUG